CAGUAGCCGCGGUAAUACGGAGGGUGCAAGCGUUAAUCGGAAUUACUGGGCGUAAAGCGUGCGUAGGCGGUUCGUUAAGUCUGUUGUGAAAGCCCCGGGCUCAACCUGGGAAUGGCAAUGGAUACUGGCGAGCUAGAGUGUGUCAGAGGAUGGUGGAAUUCCCGGUGUAGCGGUGAAAUGCGUAGAGAUCGGGAGGAACAUCAGUGGCGAAGGCGGCCAUCUGGGACAACACUGACGCUGAGGCACGAAAGCGUGGGGAGCAAACAGGAUUAGAUACCCGGGUAGUCCCUGUCUCUUAUAC
RNAcentral lists this ribosomal RNA (301 nucleotides) under uncultured bacterium. RNAcentral's name for it is "partial 16S ribosomal RNA". It matches the Rfam family "Bacterial small subunit ribosomal RNA", at positions 509 to 807 of the family's 1533-position model. The record is from RNAcentral.